AAGCUUGCUUUUUUGAGACCGGCGCACGGGUGAGUAACGCGUAUGCAACCUACCUUAUACAGGGGAAUAGCCCGAAGAAAUUCGGAUUAAUGCUCCAUGGUUUAUCGAUAUGGCAUCGUAUUGAUAAUAAAGAUUUAUCGGUGUAAGAUGGGCAUGCGUAUCAUUAGCUAGUUGGUGUGGUAACGGCAUACCAAGGCAACGAUGAUUAGGGGUCCUGAGAGGGAGAUCCCCCACACUGGUACUGAGACACGGGACCAGACUCAUACGGGAGGCAGCAGUGAGGAAUAUUGGUCAAUGGAGGCAACUCUGAACCAGCCAUGCCGCGUGCAGGAUGACGGUCCUAUGGAUUGUAAACUGCUUUUGUACAGGAAGAAACCUCUCUACGAGUAGAGACUUGACGGUACUGUAAGAAUAAGGAUCGGCUAACUCCGUGCCAGCAGCCGCGGUAAUACGGAGGAUCCGAGCGUUAUCCGGAAUUAUUGGGUUUAAAGGGUUCGUAGGCGGCUUUGUAAGUCAGUGGUGAAAUUUCCUAGCUUAACUAGGACACUGCCAUUGAUACUGCAGAGCUUGAAUAAUAUG
This 579-nucleotide ribosomal RNA is filed under the name Myroides odoratimimus. RNAcentral describes it as "bacterial SSU rRNA". It matches the Rfam family "Bacterial small subunit ribosomal RNA", at positions 76 to 653 of the family's 1533-position model. Lineage: Bacteria; Pseudomonadati; Bacteroidota; Flavobacteriia; Flavobacteriales; Flavobacteriaceae. The record is from RNAcentral.